RNAcentral lists this ribosomal RNA (468 nucleotides) under uncultured bacterium. RNAcentral's name for it is "partial 16S ribosomal RNA". It matches the Rfam family "Bacterial small subunit ribosomal RNA", at positions 28 to 507 of the family's 1533-position model. The record is from RNAcentral.
GACGAACGCUGGCGGCGUGCUUAACACAUGCAAGUCGAACGGAAAGGCCCUGCUUUUGUGGGGUGCUCGAGUGGCGAACGGGUGAGUAACACGUGAGUAACCUGCCCUUGACUUUGGGAUAACUUCAGGAAACUGGGGCUAAUACCGGAUAGGAGCUCCUGCUGCAUGGUGGGGGUUGGAAAGUUUCGGCGGUUGGGGAUGGACUCGCGGCUUAUCAGCUGGUUGGUGGGGUAGUGGCUUACCAAGGCUUUGACGGGUAGCCGGCCUGAGAGGGUGACCGGCCACAUUGGGACUGAGAUACGGCCCAGACUCCUACGGGAGGCAGCAGUGGGGAAUAUUGCACAAUGGGCGGAAGCCUGAUGCAGCAACGCCGCGUGCGGGGUGACGGCCUUCGGGUUGUAAACCGCUUUCGCCUGUGACGAAGCGUGAGUGACGGUAAUGGGUAAAGAAGCACCGGCUAACUACGUG